Molecule: ribosomal RNA, 468 nt
Filed under: uncultured bacterium
Lineage: Bacteria
Description: partial 16S ribosomal RNA
Rfam family: Bacterial small subunit ribosomal RNA
Source: RNAcentral
GACGAACGCUGGCGGCGUGCUUAACACAUGCAAGUCGAACGGAAAGGCCCUGCUUUUGUGGGGUGCUCGAGUGGCGAACGGGUGAGUAACACGUGAGUAACCUGCCCUUGACUCUGGGAUAACUUCAGGAAACUGGGGCUAAUACCGGAUAGGAGCUCCUGCUGCAUGGUGGGGGUUGGAAAGUUUCGGCGGUUGGGGAUGGACUCGCGGCUUAUCAGCUUGUUGGUGGGGUAGUGGCUUACCAAGGCUUUGACGGGUAGCCGGCCUGAGAGGGUGACCGGCCACAUUGGGACUGAGAUACGGCCCAGACUCCUACGGGAGGCAGCAGUGGGGAAUAUUGCACAGUGGGCGGAAGCCUGAUGCAGCAACGCCGCGUGCGGGAUGACGGCCUUCGGGUUGUAAACCGCUUUCGCCUGUGACGAAGCGUGAGUGACGGUAAUGGGUAAAGAAGCACCGGCUAACUACGUG